AGGGAGAGGGUUAAUGUUGUGUUUGGUACACAGGUUCCUAGCUAGGGAGAGAGAAGGGAGAGGAGGGAGAGGGUUAAUGUUGUGUUUGGUACACAGGUUCCUAGGUAGGGAGAGAGAAGGGAGAGGAGGGAGAGGGUUAAUGUUGUGUUUGGUACACAGGUUCCUAGGUAGGGAGAGAGAAGGGAGAGGAGGGAGAGGGUUAAUGUUGUGUUUGGUACACAGGUUCCUAGCUAGGGAGAGAGAAGGGAGUGGAGGGAGAGGGUUAAUGUUGUGUUUGGUACACAGGUUCCUAGCUAGGGAGAGAGAAGGGAGUGGAGGGAGAGGGUUAAUGUUGUGUUUGGUACACAGGUUCCUAGGUAGGGAGAGAGAAGGGAGAGGAGGGAGAGGGUUAAUGUUGUGUUUGGUACACAGGUUCCUAGGUAGGGAGAGAGAAGGGAGAGGAGGGAGAGGGUUAAUGUUGUGUUUGGUACACAGGUUCCUAGGUAGGGAGAGAGAAGGGAGUGGAGGGAGAGGGUUAAUGUUGUGUUUGGUACACAGGUUCCUAGGUAGGGAGAGAGAAGGGAGAGGAGGGAGAGGGUUAAUGUUGUGUUUGGUACACAGGUUCCUAGGUAGGGAGAGAGAAGGGAGAGGAGGGAGAGGGUUAAUGUUGUGUUUGGUACACAGGUUCCUAGCUAGGGAGAGAGAAGAAUGAGAAGGGAGACAUGAGAGACACAGAUAUUGUUGACAAAUAACAUGUUUGGUUUGACAUUGAUUAAAGGGUCUCGUGGCUCAGAAGAGAGAGCAGAGAGGGGACGCAGUGUCAAGGUGUAUGAUUGGCAUUGAUAUGCAGUAGCCUACAGAACUGUUGUCUGUCAACACUACUCAGUACAUACACUGCUAUCUGGAAAUAGUCUCAAUGUUUUAUCUGGUUUGACAUUGAGGAGACAGUCCCAUAGUUACGGGAGAGAGGAGACAGUCCCAUAGUUACGGGAGACAGGACAUAGUCCCAUAGUUACGGGAGACAGGACACAGUCCCAUAGUUACGGGAGAGAGGACACAGUCCCAUAGCUACGGGAGACAGGACAUAGUCCCAUAGUUACGGGAGACAGGACACAGUCCCAUAGCUACGGGAGAGAGGACACAGUCCCAUAGCUACGGGAGAGAGGACACAGUCCCAUAGCUAUGGGAGAGAGGACACAGUCCCAUAGCUACGGGAGAGAGGACACAGUCCCAUAGCUACGGGAGAGAGGACACAGUCCCAUAGCUACGGGAGAGAGGACACAGUCCCAUAGCUACGGGAGAGAGGACACAGUCCCAUAGCUACGGGAGGAGAGGACACAGUCCCAUAGCUACGGGAGAGAGGAGACAGUCCCAUAGCUACGGGAGAGAGGACACAGUCCCAUAGCUACGGGAGAGAGGAGACAGUCCCAUAGCUACGGGAGAGAGGAGACAGUCCCAUAGCUACGGGAGAGAGGAGACAGUCCCAUAGCUACGGGAGAGAGGAAACAGUCCCAUAGCUACGGGAGAGAGGAGACAGUCCCAUAGCUAAGGGAGAGAGGAGACAGUCCCAUAGCUACAGGAGAGAGGAGACAGUCCCAUAGCUACAGGAGAGAGGAGACAGUCCCAUAGCUAAGGGAGAGAGGACACAGUCCCAUAGCUACAGGAGAGAGGACACAGUCCCAUAGCUACGGGAGAGAGGACACAGUCCCAUAGCUACGGGAGAGAGGAGACAGUCCCAUAGCUACAGGAGAGAGGACACAGUCCCAUAGCUACGGGAGAGAGGAGACAGUCCCAUAGCUACGGGAGAGAGGAGACCAGGAGCACUGAUACAAAUGGAUAGUUGUUAAACUGAUGCCUGUCUAAUCCCUCUGUUACCUGUCUAGUCCUGUACCUCUCUGUCUAGUCCUGUACCUCUCUGUCUAGUCCUGUACCUCUCUGUCUAGUCCUGUACCUCUCUGUCUAGUCAUGUACCUCUCUGUCUAACCCUGCACCUCUCUGUCUAGUCCUGUACCUCACUGUCUAGUCCUGUACCUCUCUGUCUAACCCUGUACCUCUCUGUCUAACCCUGUACCUCUCUGUCUAGUCCUGUACCUCUCUGUCUAACCCUUUACCUCUCUGUCUAGUCCUGUACCUCUCUGUCUAACCCUGU
This is a long non-coding RNA of Oncorhynchus keta (chum salmon), 2128 nucleotides long. RefSeq lists it as uncharacterized. The transcript is spliced from 3 exons. The record is from RefSeq and is a predicted model, not a curated record. NCBI's taxonomy places the organism in Eukaryota, Metazoa, Chordata, Actinopteri, Salmoniformes, Salmonidae.